GACGAACGCUGGCGGCGUGCUUAACACAUGCAAGUCGAACGGAAAGGCCUGCUUUCCCUUGUGGAUUGCGGGUACUCGAGUGGCGAACGGGGGAGUAACACGUGAGUGAUCUGCCCCCAACUUGGGUAUAAGCCUGGGAAACUGGGUCUAAUUCCCGAUAGGACUGCAGGGUGGUGCCUGUGGUGGGAAACGAUUUUCUAGUGGGUGGGGAUGAGCUCGCGGCCUAUCAGCUUGUUGGUGGGGUAAUGGCCUACCAAGGCGGCGACGGGUAGCCGGCCUGAGAGGGUGGACGGCCACAUUGGGACUGAGAUACGGCCCAGACUCCUACGGGAGGCAGCAGUGGGGAAUAUUGCACAAUGGGCGGAAGCCUGAUGCAGCGACGCCGCGUGGGGGAUGACGGCCUUCGGGUUGUAAACUCCUUUCGACCGCGAGGAAGCCACCUGGUUGGAAGGGUGGUGACGGUAGUGGUAGAAGAAGCACCGGCUAACUACGUG
This 494-nucleotide ribosomal RNA is filed under the name uncultured bacterium. RNAcentral's name for it is "partial 16S ribosomal RNA". It matches the Rfam family "Bacterial small subunit ribosomal RNA", at positions 28 to 507 of the family's 1533-position model. The record is from RNAcentral.